AAUGAUCAAAACAAAACAAGAAGGAAAGAUUAAGAACAAAGAUCAAAGUGAAAGCAAGCUCAAGUGUUUGACUUAGGAUCCACUAUCAAUCAAAUCAAGGGACCCAAACAUAUGGCUCAAUAAGGGAUAACCUACCAUUGAUUCAAAGUGCCAAAAAUGAUCAAAUGAUCAUUUAUCAACAUGUUUGCAUCAAAGAAGAUUUAAUCAACCUCAAGUCCAUCUAUGGAUGACUUAAAAUGUAUA
This 243-nucleotide long non-coding RNA is filed under the name Lathyrus oleraceus (garden pea). Its description in RNAcentral is "Pisum sativum (pea) long non-coding RNA (PSAT_LNC014411)". The record is from RNAcentral. Lineage: Eukaryota; Viridiplantae; Streptophyta; Magnoliopsida; Fabales; Fabaceae.